RNAcentral lists this ribosomal RNA (482 nucleotides) under uncultured bacterium. RNAcentral describes it as "bacterial SSU rRNA". It matches the Rfam family "Bacterial small subunit ribosomal RNA", at positions 29 to 506 of the family's 1533-position model. The record is from RNAcentral.
AUGAACGCUAGCGGCAGGCUUAAUACAUGCAAGUCGAGGGGCAGCGGGGGUAGCAAUACUCGCCGGCGACCGGCAAACGGGUGCGGAACACGUACGCAACCUUCCCAAAACUGGUGAAUAGCCCUCCGAAAGGAGGAUUAAUACACCGUAAGAUAAUUGAGUGGCAUCAUUUGAUUAUUAUAGCUCCGGCGGUUUUGGAUGGGCGUGCGCCUGAUUAGGUAGUUGGUAGGGUAACGGCCUACCAAGCCAACGAUCAGUAACUGGUGUGAGAGCACGACCAGUCACACGGGCACUGAGACACGGGCCCGACUCCUACGGGAGGCAGCAGUAAGGAAUAUUGGUCAAUGGACGCAAGUCUGAACCAGCCAUGCCGCGUGCAGGAUGAAGGCCCUCUGGGUUGUAAACUGCUUUUAUCUGGGACGAAAAAAGGGGAUUCUUCCUCACUUGACGGUACCAGAGGAAUAAGCACCGGCUAACUCCGU